This 1049-nucleotide small RNA is filed under the name Histoplasma ohiense. RNAcentral's name for it is "hypothetical lncRNA". The record is from RNAcentral. Lineage: Eukaryota; Fungi; Ascomycota; Eurotiomycetes; Onygenales; Ajellomycetaceae.
UUACAUUAAAUUUAAAAUUUAUGAAAAAAUAUCAGUUUAAAAUUGUUAUAAGCUUAUUAAAAUGAUUUCAUUAUUUUAUUGUAUUGCUAUAAUAUUCUCUUUUACUAGUUUGAAUGUGAUAGCACAAAAUACUUUAGUAAGUGUCAAUUUUAAUUAUUUCUUCUUUGAGCAAUUAAAUUUCAAUAUCUAUUUUCAAAUUAUGAUUGACAAAUAAGAAUAAUCAAAAAACAAAUUUACAAGUCUUUGAAGUGAGCAAUCAACUGCAAAGCUUACAUAUCUCAGAUAAAGCAGCUUUAAAAUCUUUUGAUAAUAGCAUCAGUCAAAUACAUAAAACAAUCACCCCAUUGAACUCUAAGCAAAAAUCAUUUAAAGAAUUUUCGCGUCGUGAUUUAAAAAUGUUGAGCCGCGCAGUUCAAUGCGAGACGCAAUGGUGUACGUUCAAUCAUGAAUGUCUAAGAUAUGGUGCAGACUGCAGGCAUUGCCUGCUCAGUAAAUGUUACAGAUUGCUGUGAUUUAUUUAGUAUAAUAAAUGUAAACUAUCUAGUGCACUGCCUCCCGUACUUUCCAUGUGGGGAAACGUGUCAGAUCUGUCUUUCUUUUGGGACGCCGUGAGUUCUGCGCAGGCAGAGCUUAUGGUGUAGGAUUCUCUGUUGGUUAGGUGAAUUGCCUUCGCAAUACCCAUGGCUAGUUCUUCAAGAUUCUCCAAGUUGGAUGGGCGAGGCAGACAGGAAUAUGAGUAUGGAUAGAGUAUUUGCUGAGAGUAUGAGUGAAGGUCCAUGUAGGCAAUGAAUUUAAUGUUAUGCCGUUCUGUUUGGUCUUUCAUUCAUUGUGCUAAUUGGUGGGCUUCGACUCCCGCGAAUGGCUCAUCUCCGGCGUAGCUUUCCGAGCAAGGGUUAUCCCCAGUAGCAUUGCCAUUCCAUUCGUUUGUUUGUUUGUUUGUUUGUAUUGGUUUAACAUCUCAGAGAAAACACAGGCAGUGUCUGUGUUUCAGAAGCCUUCUGAAGGACAUGGAGAUGUGCUACACUGAAGAGAUUUCUAUGUACACAGAG